This 567-nucleotide ribosomal RNA is filed under the name uncultured bacterium. Its description in RNAcentral is "partial 16S ribosomal RNA". It matches the Rfam family "Bacterial small subunit ribosomal RNA", at positions 930 to 1501 of the family's 1533-position model. The record is from RNAcentral.
CGGUGGAUGAUGUNGUUUAAUUCGAUGCAACGCGAAAAACUUACCUACCCUUGACAUGUCAAGAAUUCUGCAGAGAUGUGGAAGUGCUCGAAAGAGAACUUGAACACAGGUGCUGCAUGGCCGUNGUCAGCUCGUGUCGUGAGAUGUUGGGUUAAGUCCCNCAACGAGCGCAACCCUUGUCAUUAGUUGCUACGCAAGAGCACUCUAAUGAGACUGCCGGUGACAAACCGGAGGAGGGUGGGGANGACGUCAGGUCCUCAUGGCCCUUAUGGGUAGGGCUACACACGUCAUACAAUGGCCGGUACAGAGGGCUGCCAACCCGCGAGGGGGAGCCAAUCCCAGAAAACCGGUCGUAGUCCGGAUCGUAGUCUGCAACUNGACUGCGUGAAGUCGGAAUCGCUAGUAAUCGCGGAUCAGCUUNCCGCGGUGAAUACGUUCCCGGGUCUUGUACACACCGCCCGUCACACCAUGGGAGCGGGUUCUGCCAGAAGUAGUUAGCCUAACCGCAAGGAAGGCGAUUACCACGGCAGNNNUNNGNGACUGGGGUGAAGUCGUAACAAGGUAACC